GAAGGUAUAGCUCAGUGGUAGAGUGCUUGCUUAGCAUGCAUGAGGUCCUAGGUUUGAUCCUCAGUACCUCCU
Molecule: transfer RNA, 72 nt
Filed under: Camelus bactrianus (Bactrian camel)
Lineage: Eukaryota; Metazoa; Chordata; Mammalia; Artiodactyla; Camelidae
Also listed under: 1 other name
Rfam family: tRNA
About the family: Transfer RNA (tRNA) molecules are approximately 80 nucleotides in length. Their secondary structure includes four short double-helical elements and three loops (D, anti-codon, and T loops).
Source: Rfam by way of RNAcentral